CUGCAGCCAGAAGGAAGCCAAUCAGGUUCCCCUCCUCAUACCUCCAAUGUACAAUGGCUGCAAACAGCAACAUUUUGGGGAAUACAUGCAGCCUAUUGUUUAUGUGAACUGCCCUAGGGUACCUUCAAGACAGUU
Rattus norvegicus (Norway rat) is the source of this 135-nucleotide small nucleolar RNA. Ensembl annotates it as small nucleolar RNA SNORA70. The record is from Ensembl. Lineage: Eukaryota; Metazoa; Chordata; Mammalia; Rodentia; Muridae.